AAUACCCAGACAGCCAGGAUGUUGGCUUAGAAGCAGCCAUCAUUUAAAGAAAGGCAUCCAACGCCAUUCAUGGCCAUAUCAAUGAUUUUCUGGUGCGUACCGGGUUGAGCGGCGGGUCUGUGUUUCAAAGCGAACGUAUCACUUAAAGCGAUUCAGCGGGUUACGAUUGACGGAGCGAAGCGACGUCAAAGCGUAUACAAAGUCGAGUCGGUUUAAGGAUACGUUCGUUGGGUAGGGGAGCGUUCUGUAAGCCUGUGAAGGUGGCCUGUGAGGGUUGCUGGAGGUAUCAGAAGUGCGAAUGCUGACAUAAGUAACGAUAAAGCGGGUGAAAAGCCCGCUCGCC
Molecule: ribosomal RNA, 343 nt
Filed under: Salmonella enterica subsp. enterica serovar Derby
Lineage: Bacteria; Pseudomonadati; Pseudomonadota; Gammaproteobacteria; Enterobacterales; Enterobacteriaceae
Description: partial 23S ribosomal RNA
Rfam family: Bacterial large subunit ribosomal RNA
Source: RNAcentral